Molecule: ribosomal RNA, 250 nt
Filed under: uncultured bacterium
Lineage: Bacteria
Description: partial 16S ribosomal RNA
Rfam family: Bacterial small subunit ribosomal RNA
Source: RNAcentral
UACGGAGGGUGCAAGCGUUGUUCGGAAUUACUGGGCGUAAAGAGCUUGUAGGCGGCUUGCUAAGUCCGAUGUGAAAGCCCUCGGCUCAACCGGGGAAGUGCAUUGGAUACUGGCGAACUUGAGUAUGGGAGAGGAGAGCGGAAUUCCCGGUGUAGAGGUGAAAUUCGUAGAUAUCGGGAGGAACACCAGUGGCGAAGGCGGCUCUCUGGACCAAUACUGACGCUGAGAAGCGAAAGCGUGGGGAGCAAAC